This is a long non-coding RNA of Cornus florida, 1856 nucleotides long. RefSeq lists it as uncharacterized. NCBI's taxonomy places the organism in Eukaryota, Viridiplantae, Streptophyta, Magnoliopsida, Cornales, Cornaceae. The record is from RefSeq and is a predicted model, not a curated record. The transcript has 4 exons.
UUUCGCCAAUUGAAAAGGAAAACCCUAUUGGGAUGCUAAACGAAACAUACGGUUUCUCAUUCUCCCUUUCUCAUUCUCCCUUCGCCACUACUGUCAGCAAACUCUCUUCCAUAGGAGAGAAUACCACAUCUAAUCGAUUUGUUCUUCAAUCUUCCACUGGAUCUCUUUAUCACUGGUAGGAGCUCUCACUCUGUAUUGGGGAUUGGAUUCAAUCUUCGAGUCGAUCUCUCCGUCACCGGAAAGAGCUCUCACUCUGUAUUAGGGAUUUGAUUCAAUCUUCCACUCGAUCUCUCUAUCACUUGUAGGAGCUCUUACUCUGUAUUGGGGAUUUUAUUCAAUCUUCCACUCUAUCUCUCUAUCACUGAGAAAUUUUGGCAUUGGUUGGGGUCAGGAGGAGGAGGAGAUGCACCAGCAACUAAUAUGGAGAAGGAUUCUACCUCUCUAAAAUCUAUAAGCGAGCAAUAGAGUUUCAUUGAAAUCCAUUCAAGCCUAAGCAUAUCAGGGUUUGUUAUUGGUGGAUGAAGCAAACUAUUCAACUUUUACUUCACGAGCAUUCUAGCAGGACAAGUAUCUUAUAUUUGUUGAUUUUUUUUUUCCUUCAUAUUUUCUUCAAAUAUCGUCUAAUAAUCUGUAUUUUUUAUUUUUAUUUUCGUUGAAUAUCAUGUAUUUGUAUUCUUUUAAUUUGAUUUCCAUAAUUGAAGAUAGAUUGAAGAUUAGAAUUCUUUAGGUGAAAGUUUCUUGUGCGCAUACAUAGUGUAGUCUUAAUUGUGCAAUGGAAGUGUUUCAAUUGGAAAAAUCCAAGCUUGUGGCUUUAGAAUCACAUUUCAUUCUAUCAGUUUCGUUUUUUUUGGUAGCAAUUUCUAGUUGAUUGACUCGAAAACAUCUGCCAUACAUUGAGAUCACGUAAGGGCAUGAGGGAACUUGACGAGAAGAAUUCAGAAACAAAGGUACAUCUCUUUUGGUUGGGGAAAAAAAUCAUUAUUAGUUAUCUUGUGGGUAGAUAUCUCAAGUUUAACUGUCAUUCCAAAGACCUUUGUGGAGUCUUUUACCCUAUGGUUCUUUUUUAUUUUUAUUUUUUAUUGUGUUCUAUUAUUUAUAAUCUUAACCAACUCCAUUGCAGCACCUGAAAUCAAGUACACUUGUAAUUUGUAUUCAAAUUGAGUUAAAGUUGUAGACAUCUAAAAGUCUCAUUUAGGAAUCAAGUACCAUGGAAAUACCAUAAAUGUGAGGAUAUGAUGGCUAUGCCAUGUCUAUUUGGAUAAGGCCCAUAUAUUUUUCUUCUUUACAUCUACCUAACAAAUUGAUGCCUGGUAAGAUUUCAGGUAAGCAAUUGUUCUUGUGAAAAUAUGCCUCUCAUACCUUUAAGUUCUCUUUGAUAUAUUAGUUAGAACUUGCAGCUAAGGGUGGCAAUUCUAAAUGAUCUUGCCAGCCAAACUAAAAUUUGUCCAAUUUCAAGCUGGUUUGGAUUUGUUUACAAGUUAUUAGAGUGCUAUUUUGGUUGAGAAGUCUCUAAUGUUUUUAUAUAAAAAAUUUGCCUUUCCAUUGCAGGUAAAGUGGGAGGAUAACACAACUAGAUCAAAAUGGGUUAUUGUCAAUCACGCUACUUUCUUAGUUAUUUUUCAAAGGUUAUUAGCAGCCCUUGUUCCUCAGAAAGUAAUGUGAUUUUUGGAUGGGCUCAUGCUACAAGACUUCAAGCUCUUUUUGUUUAAGAUGGUUUAAGUAGUGUAUGUCCAAGUCUUUAAACCCUUUGUUUAGGAAUCUAUAGCACAUUUUUGUCUAAGAUCUGGAAACAUUUUAUUUAAGAUACUAGCUUGUUUUGGUCCAAAUUAUUGGAGUUGAAAUUGUUUUAGUUGCGA